RNAcentral lists this ribosomal RNA (465 nucleotides) under uncultured bacterium. RNAcentral describes it as "partial 16S ribosomal RNA". It matches the Rfam family "Bacterial small subunit ribosomal RNA", at positions 28 to 506 of the family's 1533-position model. The record is from RNAcentral.
GAUGAACGCUGGCGGCGUGCUUAACACAUGCAAGUCGAACGAUGAAGCCCAGCUUGCUGGGUGGAUUAGUGGCGAACGGGUGAGUAACACGUGAGUAACCUGCCCUUAACUCUGGGAUAAGCCUGGGAAACUGGGUCUAAUACCGGAUAGGAGCGUCCACCGCAUGGUGGGUGUUGGAAAGAUUUAUCGGUUUUGGAUGGACUCGCAGCCUAUCAGCUUGUUGGUGAGGUAAUGGCUCACCAAGGCGACGACGGGUAGCCGGCCUGAGAGGGUGACCGGCCACACUGGGACUGAGACACGGCCCAGACUCCUACGGGAGGCAGCAGUGGGGAAUAUUGCACAAUGGGCGCAAGCCUGAUGCAGCGACGCCGCGUGAGGGAUGACGGCCUUCGGGUUGUAAACCUCUUUCAGUAGGGAAGAAGCGAAAGUGACGGUACCUGCAGAAGAAGCACCGGCUAACUACGU